This 292-nucleotide RNase P RNA is filed under the name Chloroflexota bacterium. Its description in RNAcentral is "Chloroflexi bacterium RNase P RNA component class A". It matches the Rfam family "Bacterial RNase P class A". Rfam says of the family: Ribonuclease P (RNase P) is a ubiquitous endoribonuclease, found in archaea, bacteria and eukarya as well as chloroplasts and mitochondria. Lineage: Bacteria; Bacillati; Chloroflexota. The record is from RNAcentral.
CGAGCAGGCCGGGCGGUCGCGGGAGCGAAAGCUUCCUGAGGAAAGUCCGGACUCCACAGGGCAUGGGUAGCGGGUAACGCCCGUCCGCCGCGAGGCGAGGACCAGCGCCACAGUGACGAUGCGCCGCAGGGCGCGUGAAACGCGGCAAGCUCUACCCGAGAGCAAGGCCAAAUAGGGAGACCAUGGAGCGGCCCGCUCCGUCUCCGGGUUGGCUGCUAGAGGCGAUCGGCGACGAUCGUUCGAGAGGGAUGACCGCCCUCGCCAGAAUCCGGCUUAGAGGCCUGCUCGGUGU